GACGAACGCUGGCGGCGUGCUUAACACAUGCAAGUCGAACGGAAAGGCCCCUUUGGGGGUACUCGAGUGGCGAACGGGUGAGUAACACGUGAGUAACCUGCCCUUGACUUAGGGAUAACUUCAGGAAACUGGGGCUAAUACCGGAUAGGAAUCCUUGCUGCAUGGUGGGGGUUGGAAAGCUUCGGCGGUUUUGGAUGGACUCGCGGCUUAUCAGCUUGUUGGUGGGGUAGUGGCUUACCAAGGCUUUGACGGGUAGCCGGCCUGAGAGGGCGACCGGCCACAUUGGGACUGAGAUACGGCCCAGACUCCUACGGGAGGCAGCAGUGGGGAAUAUUGCACAAUGGGCGGAAGCCUGAUGCAGCAACGCCGCGGGCGGGAUGACGGCCUUCGGGUUGUAAACCGCUUUCAGCAGGGGCGAAGCUUGUGGUGACGGUACCUGCAGAAGAAGCACCGGCUAACUACGUG
This 465-nucleotide ribosomal RNA is filed under the name uncultured bacterium. Its description in RNAcentral is "partial 16S ribosomal RNA". It matches the Rfam family "Bacterial small subunit ribosomal RNA", at positions 28 to 507 of the family's 1533-position model. The record is from RNAcentral.